CAGCCGCCACGGGAAAACGUAGGUGGCAAGCGUUGUCCGGAUUUACUGGGCGUAAAGCGAACGCAGGCGGACUGUUAAGUAGGAAGUGAAAGGUCGGAGCUCAACUCCAACAUUGCUUCCUAUACUGGCAGUCUUGAGUAGCGGAGAGGAAGGGGGAACGACACGUGUAGCGGUGAAAUGCGUUGAUAUGUGUCGGAACACCCAUGGCGAAAGCACCCUUCUGGACGCAAACUGACGCUCAGGUUCGAAAGCCAAGGUAGCGAACAGGAUUAGAUACCCCCGUAGUCCCUGUCUCUUAUAC
This 301-nucleotide ribosomal RNA is filed under the name uncultured bacterium. RNAcentral's name for it is "partial 16S ribosomal RNA". It matches the Rfam family "Bacterial small subunit ribosomal RNA", at positions 509 to 807 of the family's 1533-position model. The record is from RNAcentral.